CUGGGGGGGGUGGCCUAAUACAUGCAGUUGAGCGCUGAAGGUUGGUACUUGUACCAACUGGAUGAGCAGCGAACGGGUGAGUAACGCGUGGGGAAUCUGCCUUUGAGCGGGGGACAACAUUUGGAAACGAAUGCUAAUACCGCAUAAAAACUUUAAACAUAAGUUUUAAGUUUGAAAGAUGCAAUUGCAUCACUCAAAGAUGAUCCCGCGUUGUAUUAGCUAGUUGGUGAGGUAAAGGCUCACCAAGGCGAUGAUACAUAGCCGACCUGAGAGGGUGAUCGGCCACAUUGGGACUGAGACACGGCCCAAACUCCUACGGGAGGCAGCAGUAGGGAAUCUUCGGCAAUGGACGAAAGUCUGACCGAGCAACGCCGCGUGAGUGAAGAAGGUUUUCGGAUCGUAAAACUCUGUUGGUAGAGAAGAACGUUGGUGAGAGUGGAAAGCUCAUCAAGUGACGGUAACUACCCAGAAAGGGACGGCUAACUACGUGCCAGCAGCCGCGGUAAUACGUAGGUCCCGAGCGUUGUCCGGAUUUAUUGGGCGUAAAGCGAGCGCAGGUGGUUUAUUAAGUCUGGUGUAAAAGGCAGUGGCUCAACCAUUGUAUGCAUUGGAAACUGGUAGACUUGAGUGCAGGAGAGGAGAGUGGAAUUCCAUGUGUAGCGGUGAAAUGCGUAGAUAUAUGGAGGAACACCGGUGGCGAAGCGGCUCUCUGGCCUGUAACUGACACUGAGGCUCGAAAGCGUGGGGAGCAAACAGGAUUAGAUACUCUGGUAGUCCACGCCGUAAACGAUGAGUGCUAGAUGUAGGGAGCUAUAAGUUCUCUGUAUCGCAGCUAACGCAAUAAGCACUCCGCCUGGGGAGUACGACCGCAAAGGUUGAAACUCAAAGGAAAUUGACGGGGGCCCGCACAAGCGGGUGGAGCAUGUGGGUUUAAAUUCGAAGCAACGCGAAGAACCCUUACCAAGU
This 966-nucleotide ribosomal RNA is filed under the name Lactococcus lactis. RNAcentral describes it as "bacterial SSU rRNA". It matches the Rfam family "Bacterial small subunit ribosomal RNA", at positions 36 to 979 of the family's 1533-position model. Lineage: Bacteria; Bacillati; Bacillota; Bacilli; Lactobacillales; Streptococcaceae. The record is from RNAcentral.